GUGUCAGCCGCCGCGGUAACACCAGCCCCUCGAGUGGUGGGGACUUUUAUUUGGCCUAAAGCGUCCGUAGCUGGCUGUUUCCGUCUUCCGUUAAAUCCAGCGUCUCAAACGUUGGGCUGCGGGUGAUACCAAACAGCUAGAGGGUGGGAGAGGUCAGCGGUAUUCCUGGGGUAGGGGCGAAAUCCUUUGAUCCCAGGAGGACCACCAGUGGCGAAGGCUGCUGACUAGAACACGCCUGACGGUCAGGGACGAAAGCUGGGGUAGCGAACCGGAUUAGAUACCCGGGUAGUCCCAGCUGUAAACGAUGCUCGCUAGGUGUUGGGUCGGCCAUGCGCCGCCCCAGUGCCGCAGGGAAGCCGUUAAGCGAGCCGCCUGGGGAGUACGGCCGCAAGGCUGAAACUUAAAUGAAUUGACGGGG
Molecule: ribosomal RNA, 418 nt
Filed under: uncultured prokaryote
Description: bacterial SSU rRNA
Rfam family: Archaeal small subunit ribosomal RNA
Source: RNAcentral